AAGAAAUUCUGUUUUCUUGAAGAUAACUAAUUGACAUCCAUAAAUAAUAUAUAUAUAUAUAUUAAAACAAGAUUGACCAUGCAAGUCUUCGUCAAUUAAUUGUGAUCGUCUAAAUGAAAACCAGAUUGACCAUGCAAGUCUUCGUCAAAUAUUAAUUGUGAUCGUCUAAAUGAAAACCAGAUUGAUCAUGCAAGUCUUCGUGAAUUAAUUGUCUAUUUGGAGGCUGCAAUAUAGACACGAUAAUAUAAUCCCAACCUGAUAAGUAUCACUGGCUUGAAUGAAUGAGUUCAUGGAUUAGAUAGAAACAAGAGAUAGAGUAGGAUUGUUUUGUGUUUCAAGAAUAUUUUUGAAAAAAUUUAAAAGUUUUGUAUUUUUUUUAAAUUAAUAGUUUUUAGUAUUUUAAAAUUAUUUUGAUGUGUUAAUAUCAAAAAUAAUUUUCAAAAAAUAAAAAAUAUAAUUUUAAUACAUUUUAAAAUAAAAAAUACUUUAAAAAAUAAUUACUAUUAUAUUUUUAAUUAAUUAUAAGAGAUAGACUCGACGGGAUUGAAACUACAUGCAAAGUUCCUUGAAAAUUACAUCUAUUAGAAAAAUCAGCCCAUCUUUAAAGUUGAAAACAGGCUCCCCACCUAACAUUAAUGCAGCAAACUUUGCUGGCCGAACAUCGAUCUUGAUGUGUUUGCAUAAAUUUCCAUCGUUACCUUUUCAACAUUGUUGAAGCUAAGAACAUGAGAGCACAUGUAGGAAAAAAAACAAAAGCGUCUCGGUCCUAUUAUUAAUGGUUUGGCUUUAUUGUAGCUACCAAGCUUUAAAUUGUAGUGUUAAUUAUGAUAUUUUGCUUCAAUUGUAUCCCUAAACUGUGUCAUUUUAAAAAAAAAUUCCAUUGCUCAAGAGUUUUAGUAUAAUUUUUUAAAUCAUUUUUCUAUUUUAGUUUCUUUGUUCUUGAAGCAUCAAAGAACUGCCUUGGCCCAUCGGAAGUAAACGGUUCCUCCCAAUCUUUAGGCCCAUACAUGCACGGACCUUCCUAAAAAAACAUGGGAGCGUAAGGCCACAAAAGAAUUAUUUUGAUGACUUUCAAGAACAUCAGAAACCUUUUCACAAUGAUCGACAUUUUACCUACUUAAAUGGGCCAAGAGGUCCAAGCCCUAUUAUCCCCGUAAAAUUGCAUGCAUAGAUAUUAAACCUCGUCCAGCGAGUGACCCGGCAAUUUGAAACCUACAAAUAAUGCUUUGAAAUGCCUUUUAUGUUGAUAUGGGAGCUAGCGGCCUGUAAAAUUUGAUAAAAUCCGACCUUAAAAGUACAAACCCUUUAUUGAUUUGGGAAGAGAACGGAAUUCAAAGACAGCUUACGGUUAGAUACACUCCUCGACGAAAUAGCGUGGCCGAUAGAAAGAAUCACACAUUGGAAGCAAAUGGUAUUGAGCAGCAGCUCCUCUACCAAGUUAUAUCAUCAGUGGAUGGAAUGGAGGAUGCCAAGCUUGGAUCACUUGUCUCAGUCGUAUGAUAAGAAAGAGCUGCUGAGGACUACACCGCAGAAAUUCUUUGAAUUAAAGAAUAAGCCUUUCCCGGAAAACAUUUUCGGAAUGGAAGAGUUAUCCUUGAUUGACGAGCUUAGGAAAUGCCAUGUACCAGAACGAUAUUUUGGUGCACUUGGUGAUGCAUGGGAAGUCAACUCUUGGGAAGAUGUGGAGUUAGAAAUUGUAGUGGUAGUAGAAUAUUGAUGUUGCCAGAUAUCUUCCGUGAUAUAUUCAUGUCCAAUAUCAUAUGGAACAUCUACCUCAACAUCAGGCAGGGGAACUCUUUUGCCAGAAGGCAUUCAAGGAUGAGUUUGAUAGGCGGUGUCAAAAAGGCUUGGAGGAAUUGUCACUUGUCAUUAUUAGAAGAUGCGGGGCGUUGCCACUCGCAAUUGUGGCUAUCGGCGGACUUCUAGCUAGCAACGAAAGAACAGGUUGUUCCAUAAUAGAAAAGGUUACUUGAUAUAUAUAUAUAUAUAGUCUUGGCUGAACAAUUGGGAAAAUUGCUACCUUUAAGGUAUCUGAACUUAAGAAAUAACUUAGUGUCAAAACCUCCAGAAUCAUAACCUGGAGUCCUUGGAUCUGAGAUGUUCUUCAGUGGAAGAGUUUCUCGUUAAGAUUAAUAGGUUCCCGAAACUGCGACGUGUUCUGGGGCUUUCUAAAAAGAGAGUUGGGUUGAAGAUACAUUCCGCAUUGGGCAUUUAGACUUCAUACGAACAAUGCUUGUAGUAGGGCUGAGCAUUUCCGGUUUGGUCCGGUUUUGAACCAAAAUAAACAACCAAACUGAUUUUUUUAAAAAAAAAUUUGAACCGAACCGAACCGAACCGAAAACGGCCAGUUCAAACCGAUUAAUUUCGGUUCGGUUUGGUUCGGUUUUUUUCUCUUCCAAACCGGUUCAAACCGAAAUUAUUCCAACUUGUUCACAGUCCCAAAAAAUCCCUAAUCCCUGCGUCGAAGAAGGCAACUAAAAAUCUUUCUUGUUUGGGCAUUUUGAUGCUCUGAGCCCUGACCGUCCACAAUUAAAACAAAAGCUUCCAAAUCCAAAGCUUCUGCUACGCAUAAUAAAGAAAAGAUGUCAUGUUUGUUUGCUGAAACCUGUAUGAACAAAUUGUCCAAACCAGCAGCCACACAAGCCAGCAAAAGAUAACAGGGAAAAAAAAAAGGGGGAAUGAAAGGAAAAAAAAUCCACAACUUGGCACUUACCCAUAUCAUGCAUGUACCCCAUAAAGCCUGUAACUUUAGGUUUACAAAGAGUAAAGGGAGGGGAGAAAAAUCAAAGCAAAAGAGAGUAAAGGAAAGGGAGAGGGAUAUGCAGAGAAAGGGAAGGGAUAUGUAAAGAAGGGGGGGCUAAAAGAGAUAUGCAGAGAAAGGGAGCUAAAGGGAGGGAGGGAUAUGCAGAGAAGGGGGAUAUGCAGAGAAGGGGAAGGGAGGGCUAAAGGGAGGGAAAGGGCGGCUGAUGGCUAAAGUGAUUUUAGGGUUAAAAAAUGUUGUAUUUAUACUUACUUUUUUUUUAAGUGUUGGCUGGUUGAACCGGUUCGGUUAGGUUCGGUUCAAUCGGUUUUAGACUUUAGAAACCGAAACCGAACCGAACCGGAAUUUUUUUGUGAUUUUUUAAUCGGUUAAUUCGGUUUUUUUUUUCGGUUCGGUUUUUUCGGUUAUUUUUUUUCUGGUUUUCUCGGUUUAAUCGGUUUAUCGGUUUUUUUGCUCACCCCUAGCUUGUAGAAGUUUGAGGAGUUGCGAGAUUAAUUACUGAGCUAAGAAUGUUGAAGCAAUUGAGAAGAAUAUUGGGGACAUUAAUGUAUCAUGGAAAAGAGAAUAUGGAAGGGUUCUAUGCACUGCAUUGGAGGAUAUAGCUCUCAGCCAGCUACGGGGAUGAAAUUCUUGAAGUGGAAUCGAUCUCUUCUCCUCAAAAUCUCAAACUUUGGGGGCCAUUAGAAAGGUUGUUAGAUUGGAUUUCCUGACAGUCUACGUACGAAAAUGGUCGGCCAUGACCGUGGCUCCAAGAAUUCUACCGGCUAUCCAGAAAGUUUCUUGAUUCCUUUAAUUAGUAAUCAUUACUCUGUACAUCAAUAUUGUAUAUGUUUGGUUGUUUUGUGACUAUGCUUGUGGAACUUGUUUUCAUUGUUAAUCUUGUUGAUAUUGGUUGUGUUUUGUUUCUUCCUUCACUGGAAUCUCCUUGUAAUAAUUGCUUAACAAUAAACUUUUAUGAAAAUGGUGAAGGAAUUAAAAGAAUAAAGAUUAAAUUUGAAAAAUUAAAAAAUAUAAUAGGAGUGUGAAAUUGAAAAGAUAUCAAUUUGAUAGAUCAUUCAAGAUAAAAAAAAUUCAUAAUAAAAAGAAAAUGGAUUAAAUCUGAAGAAGCAACAAAUUAAAGGGUUGUUUUUAAAUUUUGUAGGGGUUGGCGUGAAAAUUUAGGUGAGAAGAGAGAUAAGAAGGGGGGAAAUAGUUACCGACUCCAAACCGCCAUAAAUGGUGACACAUAUGCCACCUCGUGGGGCUAGGAACACCGAGACUUUUCAAUUGUUGUCCUGGAACGUGAUGUUUGGUUAUUGGAUGGCUCCUCACACAUCGCUAGAAAGGUGCAGCGAUCGUCCACAUGCUAGCGCGUGCGGAGGUUUAUUUUUAUUACAGUACCCCUUGUUACCCUUGAAAUUUACAAUAAAAACAUAGCAAAAUGACAUCGCUAGAAAGGUGCAGCGAUCGUCCACAUGGUUUUUUUUUACUUUUUAAUUAAUUUUUUUCGUUUACUUUAGUUUGUUAAUGUUAAAUUUUUUUCUAUUUAGUUAUUAGACUUUCAUGACGGUUUUUUUGUUUUUUUUUUCGUUUUUUUUUACACUUUUAGGGUUUUUUUUUCUUUUAAUAAUUUUUUUUUGUUAAUGUUAAAUUUUUUUUAUUUAGUUAUCAGACUUUCAUGACACGGAUCCCGGGUUUAAUAGGUUAAUAUGGUUUGACGAGUUAACCUAGAAUUGUUUUUUGUUUUUUUUUUGUUUUUAAUUAAUUUUUUUCGUUUACUUUAGUUUGUUAAUGUUAAUUUCUUUCUAUUUAGAAAAGGAUGAGUUGUUUUGUUUUUCAUUUUUUUUUUACACUUUUAGGGUUUUUUUUUUUGCUUUUUUUUUGUUUUAAUAAUUUUUUUAUUUUGUUAAUGAUAAAUUUUUUUUAUUCAGUUAUCAGACUUUCAUGACACGGAUCCCGAGUUUAACAGGUUAACAUGGUUUGACGAGUUAACCCAGAAAUUUUUUUUUUGCUUUUUUUUUCUUUUUAAUUAAUUUUUUUCGUUUGCUUUUGUUUGUUAAUAUUAAAUUUCUUUCUAUUUAGUUAUUAGACUUUCAUGACACAUAUUUCAGGUUUCACGGGUUAACCUGGUUUCACGGGCCAUCAAUUUUUUUUUGUUUUUUUCUUUUAAGAAUUUUUUUUAUUUAAUUUAGUUUGUUAAUGUUAAUAUUUUUAUUUAGUUAUCAAACUUUCAUGACACGGAUCCCGGGUUUAACGGGUUAACCUGGUUUGGCGAGUUAACCCAAAAUUGUUUUUCUUUUUAAUUAAUUUUUUUCGUUUAGUUUAGUUUGUUAAUUGACAAUAAACUAAAACUGCUCAGUGUUUCACUGUGCAUGUCCACAGUGAAACGUUGAGCUGUCUUUUUUUUUAUUUUUAUUUUUCGUUUUCUAGCCUUUAUGGGUUUUUUUUUUUGCUUUUUUCUUUGUGUUUUUUUCUUUUAAUGAAUUUUUUUUGUUUAAUUUUUUUUGUUAAUGUUAAUUUUUUUAUUUAGUUAUCAGAUUUUCAUGACACGGAUCCCGGGUUUGACAAGUUAACCUGAAAUUUUUUUUUUGCUUUUUUUCAUUUUAAUUAAUUGUAACAUAUACUAAAAGGGAUUAGUGUUUUAUUGUGGACUGCACAGUGUAGCCCACGGUAAAACACUGAUGCUUUAGGUUUUUUUUUUAAGUUUGUCUCAUUUUUUUUAGCUUUUGUUUAUGCCUUUCGGGAUUAUUUUUUUGCUUCUUUCUUUGUUUUUUUCUUUUAACAAAAUUUUUUGUUUAAUUUAAUUUAGUUUAUUAAUAUUUAAUUUUUUUUAUUUAGUUAUCAGACUUUCAUGACACGUUUUCCGGAUUUAACAGGUUAACCUGGUUUCACAGGUGAACCCAGUUAAUUAUGGGUUGACCGUCAAUUUUUUUUGUUUUUUUUUUAUUUUCAUAAAUUGUUUUUGUUUAAUUUAGUUUGUUAAUGUUAAAUUUUUUUUUAUUUAGUUAUCAGACUUUCAUGACACAGAUCCUGGGUUUAACGGGUUAACAUGGUUUGACGAGUUAACCCGGAUUUUUUUCCUUUUUAAUUAAUUUUUUUUGUUUGGUUCAGUUUGUUAAUUUUCACUUUUUUUUAUUUAGUUACCAGACAUUCAUGACACGAAUCCCGGGUUUAACGGGUUAAUCUAAUUUGACGAGUUAACCUGUAAUUUGUUUUUGCUUUUUUUUCUUUUUAAUUUUUUUUUCGUUUAGUUUAGUUUGUUAAUGUUAAAUUUCUUUCUAUUUAGUUUUUUUUUCUUCUUAGAGGUUUUUUUUCUUUUAUUUUUUAUUUUUAAUUAAUUUUAUUUAUUUAAUUUAGUUUAUUAAUAUUAAAUUUUUUUCUAAGUAGUUCUCGACUGAUGCCUAUAGUUUUUCUUUUUGUUUUUUUGUUGUUUUAUGCCUUUGACUGUGGACUGCACAGUGCAGUCCACAGUGAAAAGGAUGAUGCCUUUUGUUUUUUUUCUUUUUAAUUAAUUUUUUUUUUAAUUUAAAUUGUUAAUGUUAAAUUUUUUUCUAUUUAGUUAUCAAACUUUCAUGACACGGAUUCCGGAUUUGACAGGCUAACUUGGUUUGACAAGUUAGCCCAGUUAAUUCUGGGUUAACCCAUUAAUUUAUUUUUUUCUUUUUAAUUAUCAAACUUUCACGAUGCGAAUUCAAGGUAUGACGGGUUAACCUGAUUUGAAAGGUUAACCCAGUUAAUUCAUAUUUUUUUUCUUUUUCUUCAUUAGUUUUUUUCUUCCUGUUGGUUUUUUUUCUUUGUUUUUUUUCUUUUUAACUAAUCUAUUUAAUUAUCACACUUUUAUGACAUGACCUUGCAGCCAGACCCACGUCCAAUGCUAUUGGGUCUGGUAUUGCAGUCCAGACACUUUUAUGCUAAGGAUUAACCCAAGUUUAAUGUUAUUAUUAAUAUUAUAAAUAUUACUUUUGGGUCAAGCGUUUCAACCAAACUUAAAACUUUUGGGUAUAACUUUGUAAAAAAACCUAACACUUUUAGAUCUUGACUUUUUUUAAAAUGCAAAAAAUAAUUGACCCGCAGCAUCGCGCGGGGCAUUUAACUAGUAGUUAACUAAAUCUUGGAACACAGGAAAAUCACCGUAAGCUUUAGUUGGCGACAUAACAAGUGGGGCAUGCAAUUGCAAAAAGAAAAAUAAAAAUGGAAGGGAUGGGAAGGGAAGGGAUGGAGGAAGGAGAGGUGACGUAUAAAAUUAUAAAUAUCUCUAUGCAAUAUUCUAUGAAUUAAGAAGUUUUCAAAAAACAUAAAAAAAAAUUGAAGAAACUGAAUCGAGAUUGAUAAAUUAAGAAAAAGGAUACGUUGAUAGGUUAAGGUUGUUGCGUGCUUAAUUAAGAUCAAUUCAUUUAUUUGUUGACAAACACAAGGAUGAUCUCAUGCUUCAUCAAUGCUUAAUUAAUUGUGCUGUGCUGACUAUUUUUGUACCCCCCAAGGGUUCUAAAAAUCAAUUGGGUUCGCCCACAUUAGGAUGAUGAUGAUGCAAUUCCAACCACCCACAAAAUAAUCUGAAUACUAAAUAAGAUAAAUUGUAAAAAAAAAAACUUUAAAGUUAUUAAGCCUGAUUUCGGAUCAGUUGAUUGAAACUUUGACUCGACAGGUCUACACAUGAUCAAAAUUUAAGUUGGCUUUUUAUUUUAAAAAAUUAAAAUAAUAUAUUGUUCUGAUUGACUCGAGAUAAUUUGCUCAAUUCAUGAUCUAAAUCUUAGGCCAGGAUAUGAACUAGAUCGAGUUUAAUAACUUUAAAUACUACAUGAUCUAUUUAAAACUUAAUUAACCUAAAUCUUGACAUAAAAAUACAUCUUUACUAUUAGAAAUAAAAAUAGAAAAGAGAGGAUAUUUCACGAUGAAAAUAGUAAUUAGGGGCCACUCAGAGUGGGAUAACAAAACCGGUCCGCUUGAGAUGUUCUUGAGGAAUUAUGGAAGAGAUGUAAAGCAAGAUUAAGGCAUGAUUUAGGUGAAGAUCGAUUUGCUAAUCGGUCUAUUUCUUGCUCCCAGGUGUCCCAAAGGCUGCCCUACGCCAACCACCUUUCCAACUUUGACAUGCAAGUUGAUGACAGACUGAUAGGUGUCAAUGAACCAAUUGUCUUCUUCCUCAAUGUUUUCUUAAUGCAAUGUCGUUCUCAGACACAUAUGAAGGUAACUGUUAGCAAUGAACAGAAGAAAAACCAUGCGGAGAAAAUUACAAGGACAAAACUGAAGACGAGACAGGUUAAAAAGAGGUGAAAGAGCACAUAUGUUAUUAAUUUCUCGAGGGAAAAAUGCGUAACUGUUAUGAAGAUCUUAAAGACUUUGAGCUUCUUCUCGAUGAAAGAAAUUCAUGAACAAAACUAUAAGAAAUAUAUACCCUACCAUUCAAGCACUUGGUCUUUUUUUAUUACUAAAUUUAGGCACGACUCAGAGGGACAUUUUUUUUAUGUAAUUCUCUUUUCUUACAGAACAGUAUGCUUUGUACCAUGUCGCCUUGAAAUAAUUAGCCUACAAAAUAAACAAACAAUAAAUUGAUAUUAAUUUGGUCAUGCCAUCUUGAAAAUCUGCUACGAACGAACUUCCAGCCCAGACUAGCCAUCUUCCUAGUUGCAUUCUCCUCCUGUAAUUAUAGAUGUCGAUCGAACCUGGCCGAGAUCCGAUGCUCGGGUUGCUCGGAUUACUAUAUAAUUCCAAAUUAAUCUUGAUAUAAUGUAGUUUUUAAUAAAAAAUAAAAUAAAACAAGGUAUAGAAAAAAAACAUAUCAUUGGAAUUGAUUUGAGCGGAUUGCAACCUACAUUUUACCAUAUACAAAACAAUUCAAAACAAACUCAACCCAAGUUAGAUUCUAAAUCACAAAUAAUCCAUUAAAUUAGACGGAAUUUAAUAACUUUGCUAACAAUCCAUAAACAUGUACCUGUCAGAAAAUUACAACUAAUUAUAUAUUUAGUAAUGCACUUUCAUAUUUUUAUUUGAUUGACUAAACAUGACAUUAUAAAUUUUCAUGACUUAUCUCGGAAAUUUUAUUUGAAUUUUGGGUUACACUUUUUAUAAUCCACACUAGUAUAUCGGGUUACACGUCAAGUCAAUGUUAUUUUUUGUUAAAAUAUAAAAAAAUAUUAAGAGUAUAGAAAAUAUUUUAAAUCCUUUGAGUUUAGUGACAAUGUCAAACCUAAGAGUCUUGGGUUUGACGACCAUGUCAGACCCUAGAAUGGCUGACUGAAAAGCUAGCCUUGAUCACCGGGAGACGUCUCAUGCGUCUCCUUAAUGAUAUGGAUGCCACAUACUUGUUGGGAGUGUAGAAUAUGUAUCAACAGCUUUUUAAAUAAGAACCAUAAAAAACAAUAUGGCAAUACUAAAACGUCCCUCAUGAUCCUUUUAAUUACACAUCAUACCCAAGUAAAUUUUAUUGUUGCGAUUCAUAGUAAUCUGUAUCUAGAGCUAUAGUGAAAACUCUAUGUUAUUUAGCUUUAUCUAUAAUUUCUCAUAUGUUUUAAAAUGAAAAAGGUUAGAGAUGUAUUCCUAUGUAGUAUGAUUCAAAUUCAACAAGAUUAACUAAAUUAGGGAUAUAAAUUUAAUUUGGAUGCAUAAAAUCAAGUUCAAUAUGGUAUUGUUGCCUAUUACCUAAUACAAGAAAGAAAAAAGAGAAAUAUCCUACAAAAUGAAAUUAGGUCCUCCUUUCACCCAUAAGACCACUUCAAAUGAUUUUGUCAAUCAAGUUACCAAUCAAUGCUAAUUAAGAUGAUCCAAUUAGUCCACACCUAAUCCAUGUGGUGUAAAAAAAACAAGAAAUUUUGGACACAUGACCUUAUGGAUGUUGCUUGUCAAAUAAAUUUAGAAUAUAUGUAUCUAACAAACACACACCUGUUAUUCAAACACAACCCAAAUUCAACACCCACAAAUUUUGGUAGCUCCUAUGGCUCUAUUCAACAAACAAACGAAGAGAAUGAUGAUUCAAAUCAAAACCUCUACAGUACUAGCCAGUAGCCACUCAUGUUUCCCAUCGAGUAUCCGACCACCAUAUUGGAGGGGGAGAUGCACAUUCACACCCCAUUAAUUUGAGUCCAACCCCACAGACAGCCAUAAACAAAUACAUAUCUUCAAAUCACUGCCUAAGUGUAGGGUUGUGAUCAUUUUGAAUGUCAUUACAUAGAUUACUUGUAAUACUGGGAUUUCUAAUGGAUUCAUGUUUGGUCUGUCCCACAAAUAGAUACCUUUCUUGUCCACCUCUCAAAGCCUCCAAUCAAAAUGGGAAAUUUAGAGUGUAAGUUGCAAUAUUUUAAUUUUAGGAAGAAACAAACGAAUCCAAGAUUCCACCCUUCUUUUUUUUUCAAUUUCCAAUGAAUGCUCCCACAACAAUUUGCUUUCUCCUCCAACCCUACUUUACAAUAAAAUGUUUUAGUACUAGAGAUGUUUGCUAUUUAAUAUUGGAAAUGCUUUAGCGAUGAUAUAUUCAUUUGCUUUUCACCAAUUGUGUUUCCAACCUAUUAUUAAUUAUUAAUUAUUAUUAUUAUCUGGUUGAGAGAGGACAAUAACUUUUGUUUUUAUGUAUUUUUUAAAAAUAUGUUUACUUUGAAAAGUAUUUUUCUUAAAGAACAACAGUAGCUUAAAUUACUCUGUGAAUUCAUGAAUCAACCCUAUCGACCUGUAGCUAAGACCUAAGAACUUGGACUCGAGUUGAGUCUUUUAACUAUGGUUUCUAAGGCUAGACGCAUAGAAGUUUGAUGAUCAAGAUGUGAUGAGAUCAUGGAAUUUGAUGCUUACACAUCAGAAAACCACGAUGUUGAUGAAAGCUUCCCAUGCAUACUUUUCUUUUUUCCCUUCAUCACUGCUGCUGAUUUGUAUUCCACACCUUUGCAGAUAUUAUCCAUACUCUUCAAACUCUCCACGAUUACAAACAUUACUUCAAUGGGUUAAUGAAAUCCUACGCAUCUUUCCAUUUCAAAAUAAGAAAUUUAAUAUAAAUGAUGUUACUUUAAAUAGUUCAUUUUUAUGCAAUACUCGCUGUGUGUCAAUGAGUUCAUAUAUAUAUAUAUUAUCAUUUUCUCUUAAAAGGAGACGUGACCUUUGAAUAGAAUAUGAGACAUGUAUCCAAGGAUCCGUUCAAAUACUAAACGGGGGCUAAGAUUUGAAGGAGAUGAAUAUGAUCUUAAUAUGCUAUGAAUCAAAUUCUUCUAUGUAGACGAGCCAUCCAAGGAAAAUGGCAAAUGAAUCUUUAAGCACUUGACAGACACACAAAGAAUAAAUGAUAUUCCUGACUUGGAAGCUUAAAAAAUGUCAAACAAAUUCCUUUCCUCCUCAACCGCACAAGUAAACCUCCAUACACACACAAGCACAUGAAAUAAAUAAUUUAUUGAAGGAAGAAGGAUGUCGUCUGUCUUUAAUCUUAUAUCUUAAUGGAAGAAAAACAAACCAAACGAUAAUAGCCUUUACAUUAAAUAACACAAGCUCUCUCCCUUCCUUCCUUCCUUCCUUGCUUGCUUGCCCGCCCUUGAAGUGCAGUGUAAGCCAACAAAAACAUCACCCCUCUUAAUUUGUCUCUCUCUCUCUCUCCCCCUGCUUAGCAAAAGAAGAAAAAAAAAAAAUUAAAACUUCACCAUCAAUGGCGUAAAGCAACACCAAUCAAAACCCUUGCGUGUCCGAAAUCAUUGAAAAGCAACUAAACCAAGAACCAAGAACACCACCCCAAUUUCUAACUUUCUUUAUAUGUUUUCUUUAAUGAAGAUAUGAUCACCUCAUAUCAAGUGCAAGGUGAAAGUAGAGUGUAGUAUAAAGGAUUUGAACAGGAAAGAUAGGUUUCUGACUGUGACUGUGACUGUGACUGUUAUCAUUGUUCGUGUCCUUUUUCUUUUGCUUUUUUAUGGUUAUGUUUACGAGGAGUGGUCAAGAUAAUUGUAGUUCUAGUAAAGAAAAAGAAGAUUUUUGUAGAAGUAGUAAUCCUGGGAAAGGCAGGGGAAUAUUUUCUUGAUGGGAGGAUAUUUGAUUGUAUCCAUGAAAUUACAGUGGCUCUUGCUUUUGCUAGGAUGACAGAUUCUUCUGCUUAUAGAGUUGAAACCACUUCUCGUCUUGCUCAAUGGAAGAUAGACAAUCUUGCUUCUUGUACUUAUCGGAAAUCAGAUCCUUUCAAGAUUGGCAAGUGGAAUUGGUUAGUACUUUCUUGUUUUCCUUUUCUGCAUCCAUGGGUUGAUUCCCUACAGUAGAUUGUUUAGUUUCUUGUUCUGUUUCAAGAAGAUAGAAUUUGCCCUAGAGUCUUGUGUGAUUGUUGUUCUCUUGAUUUUCGUAAAGCUGGUUUCUUUCACUGGAAAUUUAGGAUCUUUUUGGCAGUUCUUUUGCUGUUGCUGUUGUUUUUCUCUGUAAGUGGGAAUUUAUGAUCUGAGUGUCCUAGAAAUGGGUAAUUUUGAAGUGGGAUUUUGGGGUUUUUCAAUCCAUGUGGAAUGGUGAGACUUUAGCUUUGGAUAGGAUAGAGACCAGGAGUAUGGUCAAUGGCAGAGACAGGGUAGGCACAUGUUUCAGUACAUUGAUGAUCCUUUGUUUGGUUGCCUAUAAAUUUUGCUGGUAAGAAAGAGAAAGUAAGAUAGCUAUGAUUUAUUAGUGCACUGUGAAUUUCUUUUUUGGCCAUUAUUUUCUGUGAUCUUGCUAUAUCAGCUGAGUUUAACAAUCUUUUUGGAUUGAAGGCAUCUAUCUGUGGAGAAGAACCGGGUAUUAUUUGUUAAGUUGUAUCCAGAGAUAUCGAAUCUAACGCGGGAAAAUCCUCCAAUUGCUUCAUUUAUUAUUCGAGUUGUUUCUUCUGCUGGAGAUCGCAAGGCUUUGACUCAUCCAGGUAAUAAAUUCAAACUCUAUCUUCAGUUUUUAGAUACUUUUCUGUUUAUAACUUGUUUUUCUCCAAUAAAGAUGGAACACGUGCAGUUAACCAUCUUGAAUUUCAUACUUCUGACCCUUGAUUUGAAUUCUAAGUUGUGAUCUACAAACCAUUACAAAGUUCAUGAGCUGCGGAGUGAAUGACGUAGAUGAUCUAUACCCUCGAUCGAAUGUUCUAAGUUGUGAUCUACCUACCAAUACAUUAUUUAUGAAUUGGUGAAAUGGAUAAGCAAAUGAAAAAUAUGAUCGUAACUGUGAUAAACCAUAACUUGAAUCUGCAAAUGAUAUGGUAAUUAGUGCACUGGGAGCAUACUAUCCUAUGCAUAUGUAUGUUUUGCCGCUGAGGAUAAGGCAGUUUCUUGUGUGUUUUGGUAUUUUCUGACAAAAUGCUCAACUUCAUGUUACUUUCUCAGUUUUAUUUUAAAUGUAUUCCUGCAGAGGUAACAGAUAAGCAGCUCAAGAACAACGAGGAUUUCGUCUGGGCAAUUGAUGUUCCUUUAACAACAGGGAAAUUCAUUAUCGACGUUGAAUUCCUUGAUUUGAAGGCAGCAUCUCCAGGGGUAUGUUUCUAUAUUGGCUGGCCUAUCAAUAGAAAGAAAAAUUAUAUCCUUGAAAACACAAGAGAUGGCAAUGCACCUGUUAUUUGAAUUCUCUAUACUGUAACCAAUGAGAGUACCACUCCCAUUCUACCAAACAGAUAGAGUAUUGCUACUAUACCUUUAUUUUAAAAGCUGCUAUAUGUCAUUAAAUAUACAGGGUGGAGAACCUUGCUCGAUCUGGGACGAAGAAACCACAGAAAAGCGAGCAAAUGCAACAGCUCUUGUGUCACUUGGUAGAAUGUUAACAGAAAGCAUCCACACGGAUAUCAAAAUUAUUGUUUCUGAUGGAAGCAUUGGAGCCCACCGUGCUGUUCUUGCUGCAAGAUCGCCUGUUUUCCACAGCAUGUUUGCUCAUGACCUGAAAGAAAAGGAACUGUCAACCAUAAAUAUCUCCGACAUGUCAAUUGAAGCUUGUCAGGCUUUUCUCAAUUACAUAUAUGGGAACAUCCAGAGUGAAGAAUUUCUUGUCCACCGUUUGGCACUUCUCAGUGCAGCUGAUAAGUAUGAUAUUGCUGACCUGAAAGAGGCAUGUCAUGACAGUCUUCUGGAAGAUAUAGACACAAAGAAUGUACUUGAGAGGCUACAAAGCGCAUCCUUGUAUCAAUUGCCGAAACUGAAGACCAGCUGCCUGCGGUAUCUUGUGAAGUUCGGUAAGAUAUUUGAUAUUCGAGAUGAUUUCAAUUCCUUCUUGCAAUGUGCAGACAGGGAUCUGAUAGCUGAAGUCUUUCAUGAAGUUCUCAAUUCCUGGAAAGGAUUCUGAAGACGAUAGUGUGGUUAAGUCAGUUGUAUUUUACAAAAUGGGUGUUUAGAAAAUUUAGUGUGCACAAUUUGUUGCCAUCAAGAUUAUUCUUUGUUCAGAAUGAAUUUGUUGAUGCCUUCAUGUACACAUAUAUUGGAUUGCGUGACAUAGAUCUUCUAUCCCUGUUAUGGAGGAUCAUGUAUUCAUGAACACUAUGAUUUGAAUGAAAUGUAAAUACUUUGAUAAUAUGAUUCAAAUUUCAAAAUAACUUUUUUUAGUUUUUCUUCUAAAUUAGAUGGCACAGAUAUGCGUGAAAGUCAUGUGAGAAUGAUCUAAUCUGAUUUUCCCCGGGUAUCAAAACUAGCUGCCUUUUCGAAUUGUCAGGACAUGAAUAUUGAGUCAAAUCUGGUUUAUCAUGAAUAUAAUCAUGCAAAUGCUCAUAAAUUCAAGAGUUGAACCCAGAUCAGCUAUAAAGCUCACAAGAGCAUCAUCAGGCAUGAUUUCACCAAAAAUCUUCCCUUAAUUUGCAGCCAUGAUUUCACCCCAUUGUUGACUCCUUUCCAGCCUCUCUUCAAGCCGUGUUUCCAUCUCAUUGUAGCUAGAAUUUGUGCGAGUUUGUCUCCAAACUCAACUCAAGGAAGCAAACUUAUCGAUCAAAUUAUGCACAUAGCAGCAUCAAUUAUGGAAACAGGCAGGAGCAACACCAUUAGGUCCUCAACGUAAACAGAUUCUGCUACUUGGCCUUUGUUUCCAAUUAGAAUUCAGAAAACACACCAUAAUUUCACACACAAACCAUGGUUCUAUGCAUUAAUCUAGUCAAUUCAUUGUUGGAAUGAACAUUUAACACAAGAACACAUCAUGACAUUGAUAGAAGAUCUUCUCAUGGUCAGAAUCCCAAGUCUAAAAUAAGAUGUAAUAUAAACACAACAAGGUAACAUCAAAAUGAAAGGCAAUAUGUUUAUUGUUCAAGUAGCACAACAACAAAUGAUUAUGCAACAAGAAAAGCAAUAUUUUUUUUGUGAAUAUUCGAGGAAUUUCAAUAGCAAAAAAGCAUAGCUAAAAAACUAAAAACAUCUUUUCAUAAACAAGGAAACUGAAUAGCAUGACCAAAACAAUAACAAAAAACACAAGCAAAAGGGUAUGUUAUAUAUCCUCUAGGGCAAUGAACUCACCUCUUAGAAAAUCUUUUGAGGACCACUUCAUAUUGAUUUUGAAACCAAAAUCUAGUGUUCUUUAAAUUGCCAGAGACCAAUCAUGGCAAGGAAUUCUUGUAGGAGUUGGUAAAUAA
This 15236-nucleotide long non-coding RNA is filed under the name Populus trichocarpa (black cottonwood). RNAcentral's name for it is "long non-coding RNA (PTRI_LNC000519)". The record is from RNAcentral. Lineage: Eukaryota; Viridiplantae; Streptophyta; Magnoliopsida; Malpighiales; Salicaceae.